Triticum aestivum (bread wheat) is the source of this 249-nucleotide long non-coding RNA. RefSeq lists it as uncharacterized. The transcript is spliced from 3 exons. NCBI's taxonomy places the organism in Eukaryota, Viridiplantae, Streptophyta, Magnoliopsida, Poales, Poaceae. The record is from RefSeq and is a predicted model, not a curated record.
GGGACCAGCCAGUGCUGGACUUCGACAGGGUGGACGCCCUCGUGCAGCAGCUCAAGGGGUGUAGCUCCAGUGUUGGUGCUAACAAAGUGAGCGUCUCAUGCAUGCACUUCCGUCGGUUCAAUCAUGCAAAAACCAAAGAAGGGUACCUCAUGGCAUUGGCUCCUGUUAUGAAUGAGUUCUAUGAUGUGCGGAACAUGUUCCUGACCAUACUGCAGGUAGUCCCUUAUUUCCCUAUGUUUCCUAUUUUAC